This 96-nucleotide ribosomal RNA is filed under the name Corynebacterium glutamicum. RNAcentral's name for it is "partial 23S ribosomal RNA". It matches the Rfam family "Bacterial large subunit ribosomal RNA", at positions 2828 to 2925 of the family's 2925-position model. The record is from RNAcentral. Lineage: Bacteria; Bacillati; Actinomycetota; Actinomycetes; Mycobacteriales; Corynebacteriaceae.
UGAGGUUCCCUAGAGAUUAUGGGGUUGAUAGGCCAGAUCUGGAAGCACUGUGAGGUGUGGAGGUGACUGGUACUAAUUUACCGAUAACAACAAACC